CCUACGGGUGGCAGCAGUGAGGAAUAUUGGUCAAUGGGCGCGAGCCUGAACCAGCCAAGUAGCGUGAAGGAUGACUGCCCUACGGGUUGUAAACUUCUUUUAUAAAGGAAUAAAGUGAGGCAUGUGUGCGUUUUUGUAUGUAUUUUAUGAAUAAGGCUCGGCUAACUCCGUGCCAGCCGCCGCGGUAAUACGGAGGAGACGAGCGUUAUCCGGAUUUAUUGGGUUUAAAGGGAGCGUAGAUGGGGUGUUAAGUCAGUUGUGAAAGUUUGCGGCUCAACCGUAAAAUUGCAAUUGAUACUGGCAGCCUUGAGUACAGUUGAGGUAGGCGGAAUUCGUGGUGUAGCGGUGAAAUGCUUAGAUAUCACGAAGAACUCCGAUUGCGAAGGCAGCCUACUAGACUGCAACUGACAUUGAUGCUCGAAAGUGUGGGUAUCAAACAGGAUUAGAUACCCUGGUAGUC
This 460-nucleotide ribosomal RNA is filed under the name uncultured bacterium. RNAcentral's name for it is "partial 16S ribosomal RNA". It matches the Rfam family "Bacterial small subunit ribosomal RNA", at positions 338 to 795 of the family's 1533-position model. The record is from RNAcentral.